RNAcentral lists this transfer RNA (73 nucleotides) under Saccharothrix algeriensis. RNAcentral's name for it is "tRNA-Gln". It matches the Rfam family "tRNA". Rfam says of the family: Transfer RNA (tRNA) molecules are approximately 80 nucleotides in length. Their secondary structure includes four short double-helical elements and three loops (D, anti-codon, and T loops). The record is from RNAcentral. Lineage: Bacteria; Bacillati; Actinomycetota; Actinomycetes; Pseudonocardiales; Pseudonocardiaceae. RNAcentral also lists the same sequence under 3 other names.
UGGGGCGUGGAGUAAUGGCAGCUCACCAGACUUUGAAUCUGGAAGGUCCUGGUUCGAAUCCAGGCGCCCCAGC